UGUCUAAGUAUAGCAAUUAUACCGUGAAACUGCGAAUGGCUCAUUAAAUCAGUUAUCGUUUAUUUGAUAGUACCUUACUACUUGGAUACCCGUGGUAAUUCUAGAGCUAAUACAUGCUAAAAACCCCGACUUCGGGAGGGGUGUGUUUAUUAGAUAAAAAACCAACGCCCUUCGGGGCUCCUUGGUGAUUCAUGAUAACCUCUCAGAUCGCACGGCCUUGCGCCGGCGACGGUUCAUUCAAAUUUCUGCCCUAUCAACUUUCGAUGGUAAGGUAUUGGCUUACCAUGGUUUCAACGGGUAACGGGGAAUUAGGGUUCGAUUCCGGAGAGUGAGCCUGAGAAACGGCUCACACAUCCAAGGAAGGCAGCAGGCGCGCAAAUUACCCAAUCCCGACACGGGGAGGUAGUGACAAUAAAUACUGAUACAGGGCUCUUUUGGGUCUUGUAAUUGGAAUGAGUACAAUUUAAACCUCUUAACGAGGAACAAUUGGAGGGCAAGUCUGGUGCCAGCAGCCGCGGUAAUUCCAGCUCCAAUAGCGUAUAUUAAAGUUGUUGCAGUUAAAAAGCUCGUAGUUGAAUCUUUGGCCUGGCUGGCGGGUCCGCCUCACCGCGUGCACUUGUCCGGCCGGGCCUUCUCUUCUGGAGAACCGCAUGCCCUUCACUGGGCGUGUUGGGGACCAGGACUUUUACUUUGAAAAAAUUAGAGUGUUCAAAGCAGGCCUUUGCUCGAAUACGUUAGCAUGGAAUAAUAGAAUAGGACGUGCGGUCCUAUUUUGUUGGUUUCUAGGACCGCCGUAAUGAUUAAUAGGGACAGUCGGGGGCAUCAGUAUUCAAUUGUCAGAGGUGAAAUUCUUGGAUUUAUUGAAGACUAACUACUGCGAAAGCAUUUGCCAAGGAUGUUUUCAUUAAUCAGUGAACGAAAGUUAGGGGAUCGAAGACGAUCAGAUACCGUCGUAGUCUUAACCAUAAACUAUGCCGACUAGGGAUCGGGCGGUGUUAUCGAUUUGACCCGCUCGGCACCUUGCGAGAAAUCAAAGUGUUUGGGUUCUGGGGGGAGUAU
Molecule: ribosomal RNA, 1059 nt
Filed under: Dictyocheirospora metroxylonis
Lineage: Eukaryota; Fungi; Ascomycota; Dothideomycetes; Pleosporales; Dictyosporiaceae
Description: SSU rRNA
Rfam family: Eukaryotic small subunit ribosomal RNA
Source: RNAcentral